GAUGAACGCUAGCGGCAGGCUUAAUACAUGCAAGUCGUGGGGCAGCGCAGUGUAGCAAUACAUGGGCGGCGACCGGCAAACGGGUGCGGAACACGUACACAACCUUCCUUCAAAUGGGGAAUAGCCCAGGGAAACUUGGAUUAAUACCCCGUAACAUUAUGAAGUGGCAUCACUUUAUAAUUAUAGCUCCGGCGUUUGGAGAUGGGUGUGCGGCUGAUUAGGUAGUUGGCGGGGAACGGCCCACCAAGCCUUCGAUCAGUAACUGGUGUGAGAGCACGACCAGUCACACGGGCACUGAGAC
Molecule: ribosomal RNA, 301 nt
Filed under: uncultured bacterium
Lineage: Bacteria
Description: bacterial SSU rRNA
Rfam family: Bacterial small subunit ribosomal RNA
Source: RNAcentral